UAGGAGGGAGAGGGAGGGAGACCAUGGAGGCAUCUCAAUCAAGUUCUUCUGCUUCCUUGUCCUCCGGACUUAUCGAUUUCUGCCAUUAUGGAAUAAGGUCGCCUUUAAGGACCUCAUGGACUAUUGGAAACCUUGACCGGCAUUUCUUUGGAUGUGGGAUGUAUGAGGUAUGUUCUCAUUUUCCUCUUUUCACAUUUAUUCUUGGAUUUUUGGUUUGAAUCUUUAGUCUCAACUUGGUGUUCUAGAUAAAUGGAGGAUGUGGUUACUUUUUUUGCUAUGAUUCACCUCCAAAUGCAAUGGACAAGGACAUCAUUAACAAGCUCUUGUAAUGGAACAAGAAGCUCGAGGCCCAGCUUUCAAGCUACAAAAGAAGGAUCAAAUAGGCAGUGCUUUGUAGGCUAGUGUUCUAGGUUACUGUGGCUAGUUAUUUUAUGGUGUCUCAAUUUUGAACUUUUGAUGUGUUAAGGAUCUCAAGUUGAAGGUUUGGGGUUUGUGGAGUGUCCUAAGCUGGAUGCUUUGUAGUUUAUCCCAUAUUGGAUGUUUUGUUUUGGAGGUUAUUCCAUCUUAUUUUGUAAUCUCUAAACUGAG
Molecule: long non-coding RNA, 588 nt
Filed under: Phoenix dactylifera (date palm)
Lineage: Eukaryota; Viridiplantae; Streptophyta; Magnoliopsida; Arecales; Arecaceae
Description: long non-coding RNA (PDAC_LNC007369)
Source: RNAcentral